RNAcentral lists this ribosomal RNA (910 nucleotides) under uncultured bacterium. RNAcentral describes it as "bacterial SSU rRNA". It matches the Rfam family "Bacterial small subunit ribosomal RNA", at positions 8 to 916 of the family's 1533-position model. The record is from RNAcentral.
AGAGUUUGAUCCUGGCUCAGAUUGAACGCUGGCGGCAUGCUUUACACAUGCAAGUCGAACGGCAGCGCGGGGCAACCUGGCGGCGAGUGGCGAACGGGUGAGUAAUAUAUCGGAACGUACCCAGAAGUGGGGGAUAACGUAGCGAAAGUUACGCUAAUACCGCAUACGAUCUACGGAUGAAAGUGGGGGACCUUCGGGCCUCAUGCUUUUGGAGCGGCCGAUAUCUGAUUAGCUAGUUGGUGAGGUAAAGGCUCACCAAGGCGACGAUCAGUAGCUGGUCUGAGAGGACGACCAGCCACACUGGAACUGAGACACGGUCCAGACUCCUACGGGAGGCAGCAGUGGGGAAUUUUGGACAAUGGGCGCAAGCCUGAUCCAGCAAUGCCGCGUGAGUGAAGAAGGCCUUCGGGUUGUAAAGCUCUUUUGUCAGGGAAGAAACGGCUGAGGAUAAUACCUUCGGCUAAUGACGGUACCUGAAGAAUAAGCACCGGCUAACUACGUGCCAGCAGCCGCGGUAAUACGUAGGGUGCAAGCGUUAAUCGGAAUUACUGGGCGUAAAGCGUGCGCAGGCGGUUUUGUAAGUCUGACGUGAAAUCCCCGGGCUCAACCUGGGAAUUGCGUUGGAGACUGCAAGGCUGGAGUCUGGCAGAGGGGGGUAGAAUUCCACGUGUAGCAGUGAAAUGCGUAGAGAUGUGGAGGAACACCGAUGGCGAAGGCAGCCCCCUGGGUCAAGACUGACGCUCAUGCACGAAAGCGUGGGGAGCAAACAGGAUUAGAUACCCUGGUAGUCCACGCCCUAAACGAUGUCUACUAGUUGUCGGGUCUUAAUUGACUUGGUAACGCAGCUAACGCGUGAAGUAGACCGCCUGGGGAGUACGGUCGCAAGAUUAAAACUCAAAUGAAUUGACGG